RNAcentral lists this long non-coding RNA (409 nucleotides) under Ananas comosus (pineapple). RNAcentral describes it as "long non-coding RNA (ACOM_LNC038909)". Lineage: Eukaryota; Viridiplantae; Streptophyta; Magnoliopsida; Poales; Bromeliaceae. The record is from RNAcentral.
GUUUGGUCAUCGAAAACUGUGCCGAACUGCAAUUUUUAUAAGAUAGCUUCUGGAUUUUAUUUUUCACCUUCCGGAUGUCAAAAUGAUAUGAAACUUUAAAUAUAGCCUCAUAAAAAUAAUUCUGACUUAUCCUCCAGUUUUCAUAAUUUUCUGACACUGUACAUUUUCUGCUAAUUUAUCUGUCCCGUUUCCAACAGAAAAUUUUAAAUCUUCUGUUUUCAUUCCGAUUUCAGCACAAGUCACUUUUGACUUAUGUUUUACUUCUCUAAAUUCAAUAAAAAUAGUUUCUCACACUAUUUUUAUUUAUUUUUAUUUUUAUACCAAAAUCUGGUAUGUUACAACCGCCCCGACCGAAACUCUGCCCCAUUACCGGGCCGCUGCUCCACACAGCUGACUACGCCUGCCCAAU